RNAcentral lists this ribosomal RNA (626 nucleotides) under Weissella confusa. RNAcentral's name for it is "bacterial SSU rRNA". It matches the Rfam family "Bacterial small subunit ribosomal RNA", at positions 52 to 644 of the family's 1533-position model. The record is from RNAcentral. Lineage: Bacteria; Bacillati; Bacillota; Bacilli; Lactobacillales; Lactobacillaceae.
CGCUUUGGUGGUUCAACUGAUUGUGAAGCAGCUUGCUCAGAUAUGACGAUGGACAUUGCAAAGAGUGGCGAACGGGUGAGUAACACGUGGGAAACCUACCUCUUAGCAGGGGAUAACAUUUGGAAACAGAUGCUAAUACCGUAUAACAAUGACAACCGCAUGGUUGUUAUUUGAAAGAUGGUUCUGCUAUCACUAAGAGAUGGUCCCGCGGUGCAUUAGCUAGUUGGUAAGGUAAUGGCUUACCAAGGCGAUGAUGCAUAGCCGAGUUGAGAGACUGAUCGGCCACAAUGGGACUGAGACACGGCCCAUACUCCUACGGGAGGCAGCAGUAGGGAAUCUUCCACAAUGGGCGAAAGCCUGAUGGAGCAACGCCGCGUGUGUGAUGAAGGGUUUCGGCUCGUAAAACACUGUUGUAAGAGAAGAAUGACAUUGAGAGUAACUGUUCAAUGUGUGACGGUAUCUUACCAGAAAGGAACGGCUAAAUACGUGCCAGCAGCCGCGGUAAUACGUAUGUUCCAAGCGUUAUCCGGAUUUAUUGGGCGUAAAGCGAGCGCAGACGGUUAUUUAAGUCUGAAGUGAAAGCCCUCAGCUCAACUGAGGAUUGCUUUGGAAACUGGGAUGACUUG